GUCCGAAUGGGCCAGAGCUGAAGAGCUCAGCCGCCCAACUGCUAAGCCACGAAAAAACUUCUUCAGAGGAGGGCUGACACACACCAUCUUCUAAGGAAGGGAGCGUCUCUCCUUGGAGGGACCCAGUGUGCACUUUGCCUGUUUGCGGGCUAUGACUGCCCGGGGCAAUUUAAGACAGCAUUCGCAGUCACCUACAGAGAACUUGCUCUGUGCCAAGCACAUAUGUUAAUGCAAUUGGUGACAAAGGCCAGAAAACACGAAGAUUAAAAAAACCCACAGGCUUAGCUCACCUCUUCCUCUGCCUUCUUGCGGAGUCCUUCUUUUGUAAUCAUGAAUUGUGUUUAUUCCCAGCUUCGAAUUAAGUGGUUAAGUUUUCUUUCCGAAUGCAAACGCAGAGUGAUUCAAAGGGCAGUCUGAAUUCUGGGUUAUAAGGGCCAUGUGCACGGCGGUCACAGCUCCCCACAUUGCGUGGCACAGUCACUGUGACAGUCUUAGGAAGUUCCUCUCAUCGUCCCCAUUUAGCAGGUGGCAAAGUGGCAGAGGUGGACUCAAGCCUGGGCUCUGCAGCUCCAGCACGGACACAGCCCACCCGUGGUCCAAACCUCGCCCUGUACACUUGCUGGGAAACUGGGCAGUUACCAGCUCCAUCGAGUGUUGUGCCCAAGGAGACUCUAUCACCAGAAGGGUGUUAAGUCGAGAGUAGCUGUUCACCGAGAUUCCUGUUUGCUCUCAUUACUGCCGAAUUGCAAGAGCGGAAGGUGCAAACUCCCCACCUGGACCGUUGGGCGUGAUGGUAACGCUGCUAUGUAGCUACGGGGGGGGGCACGUCACCAUCUAAAAGCCACUGGCUCAACAUGUGUGCCACGCUGAAAGACAGGCCCCUAGCCCUGCAGGAGGCUGUCCCCAAGCUGGCUUCCUACAGGUGUCCACCCAGAAGGUGGGUUGCUUCUCCCUCCAGGAUGCAGGGCUCUGCCCUAACCAACUUGCCACCAGCAUCGGGUUAGAAGCAGCCUCGGCCGUGGGUGAGAGGGGGUCCACGCUGCAGGUCUCUUGCACACCUCCAUCCCCGCCACCACGACCGCACUGUCCACACGGCCCAUGGCCCUCUGUGCAGGGCGAUGGCGGGGCAGGCAGAGCCUGGCCUGGCUGCCCUCAGCUACAGACACCACCUGAGCACCGGUUGCCAAGCGCCCCUUUACUGAUGCUCCCUGAAAGAUUGAGAGGGGAUCACAGGCCCUUCCCUACUCCCUGGCAACCCCUCAUCCCAUCUCGCCCCUUCCAGACCCCCACUGAGGAGCCCAGCCACCCAGCACUGCCCACACAUCUGUGCACAGAGGCGGUAGGCCAGCUUCUCCGCCCUGUCUGCCCUUCGCCCUGGCAGGAGCUGGGCUGGAGCCAGGCAGCAGGCCAUUGUUGGUUCACAUCGAAUUAUCCAGCAAACCCAUUCGUAAACCACGUCCAGAGGCCCUGGGAGUUAAGACUUGAACCUACCUUUGAGGGGAGAAAGCUCAACCCACAAGCAAGAUCAUGGCUCGGAAACACCCACCAGAGGCCGAGCUUCCUGUCACGCGACAUCAGAGCAAACGCGAAAUCUCAGGGUGUCUCUUGCCUCGGCACCAGACUCGUCCCAACACACCCAUGACGGGUCCACCGUCAUCCUCACUGGUCCCAGCAGCCGUCCGUAACCCCCUCCCAGGUUCCAGACUUCGGGUGGGGUCGGGUGGGGGGACAAGCUUGACAGUCCCUGGUACUUAUCCCUGGAGCCCUGUUCGUGUCAGCUGUGUGAACCGUUGUGUUGGACAGGCGGUAAGUGCUAAUUUUCUGCGUUUACCAGUUUUCAAUGUCAUGACCCAGCUUCCUUCAAAGGAAACCAGUGAUUUUUUUUUUAAGCUAUCAUGAUGAAUUCAUGGAUUUUGAAAAAUAUAUUUCAUGCAUUUCAGUUUAUUUCCCUCUCCCAAGUUUCUCAUUUGUGUCCUUGUUGGGAGCUGUUAGUCUUCGAGGCUCUCACAUUUCUGAAUAUCUGAGCGGAAGUAGUGACAGCUUCUGUUCUACCUUUUCAGGAGUGUUCGGGACCAAACAGCCUUUCAAAGAUGGAGACGUGGUCCCCUCCGAGGCAAAGGACGAAGUUGAUUGCUGACCAGCAGGUUGAAAAUAACAGCAGAGUUGGAGUUCCCAUCAUGGCACAGGGGAAACAAACCUGACCAGAAUGUAUCUCUUAAUGAACAAGAAUUGAGCGUUUGUUGGCCACUGACCAUGGUUGCAAAAACAGUCCAGAGAGCUCCCGUGUGGACUUCACACAGCUUCCUUCGGUGAAAACGUCUCACGGAGCCGGAGGGCAGUCCAGCGAGGGGGCUGACGACGGUAUAAACUGCAGACAGUGUUUGGAUUUUGCCGGGUUUCACAGGUACCUUCGUGCUGCGUCUGUCAACUCCAGCCGGAGUCACCACCACGGGGUCAGGCUCCGGAGCUGCUCCCGUCCCCUGGAGUCUCACCCCGACCCCUGAGCUUUUGUCUCAUCGCCACCUUCUAUGUUGGAUCUGUCCAGGUCUCGAAGGUGUAACUGCUAAUGUUGGUUUUCCCUAAAUCUCAAAUCCUUACAAAAUCUUGUAUGAGAUGCUCAAAGCGCAGGUUGAUUGAAAACUUUUAUCUUUCAUAAAUCGGGCUUGAAUCCGCUCCUAAUGUUCAUCUUCCUCCUGAUUUUACUUCUUUUACCCUUGUUUUCAGUGGGUCUGAUGCUAUCCUUCCAGUCCUAUUUUUAUGACUCUUUACCUGGAAUCUUCAUUUUCAGCCUUUAUUCGUCUCCUGAAGUUAAAUUGUGUAGAGAGCAUAAGCAGGUUUACUUUUUAUGCUUCAUGGAAGGGUCUUUUUUUUUUUUAAAUAAGAAAACAAAUCCAUUCACAUUUAGUGUACUGACAGAUAGACUUUUCUUUGUUCCCGUUAUUUUAAAUAAGUUAUUUUUUAUUUGACAUUGCUGUUUUCUAUUUUCCUUUUCCAUGUGUUUGUUGGUGUGUUCAAAGGUCUCUUCACUCAAUUUUUUGGUCCCAUUUUAUUUUUUUAAUUUUUAUUUUGUUUUAUUUUGCUUUUUAUGGCCAGACUAUGGAAGUGCCCAGGCGAGGGGUCACAUUGGAGCUGCAGCUACCAGCCUAGGCCACAGUCACACCACGGGAUCCUUAACCCACUGAGCAAGGCCAGGGAUCGAACCCACAUCCUCAUGGAUACCAGUCAGGUUCGUCUCCACUGAGCCACAACGGGAACUCCUGUCCUUUGUUUCUUUAAAUUUUAAAAAAUUGCAGCAUGGUUUGCACUUAAUAAAUGGUUGUCUUUC
This 3325-nucleotide long non-coding RNA is filed under the name Sus scrofa (pig). RNAcentral describes it as "lncRNA (ENSSSCG00030010445.1)". Lineage: Eukaryota; Metazoa; Chordata; Mammalia; Artiodactyla; Suidae. The record is from RNAcentral.